This is a long non-coding RNA of Aethina tumida (small hive beetle), 491 nucleotides long. RefSeq lists it as uncharacterized. NCBI's taxonomy places the organism in Eukaryota, Metazoa, Arthropoda, Insecta, Coleoptera, Nitidulidae. The transcript is spliced from 3 exons. The record is from RefSeq and is a predicted model, not a curated record.
CUUACAUAUAAUAAGAGCAAGUUGUGAUUUUCUUGUCAGUCCUGAAAUUGAGUUUGAUGCGAUCAACCAGCAGGCCAAAAUGUCUUUGUAUUCCUAUAUUAUAUUUUUCUUGGUCAUAAAUUUGUCCUUGGUGAUUUCUGCGCCUUUGGGAUGUCAGGAUCUGAAUUUGCCGGAUCCCGAAAAAUAUCAACUCUGCAUGUUGGAAUACGCUUAUAAGACAAGAAAGUAUUCACAUGGAGAUUUCGACUCGGUUUUCCAGGAAAGAAAACGCAAUCCUGAACUGAGUCAAGCUUUGCAUUAUAUGAAAGAAAUGAAUAUCAUAUGAUGUGCACAUCAUCAAUUAAAUACGAAAGCGGAUCAAGAUUCUGCAAUAUUUUUGUAACACGUUCCUAGUCAUAUCAUAGGUGGCAUUAUGAAAUAUAUUAUUUGCAAAUAUUUUUCAAUUUUACUAUAAUCUAAAUGUAUUUAAUUAAUAAAAAUUUUAGCAAUUA